RNAcentral lists this ribosomal RNA (450 nucleotides) under uncultured bacterium. RNAcentral's name for it is "partial 16S ribosomal RNA". It matches the Rfam family "Bacterial small subunit ribosomal RNA", at positions 354 to 796 of the family's 1533-position model. The record is from RNAcentral.
GUGGGGAAUUUUGGACAAUGGGGGCAACCCUGAUCCAGCCAUGCCGCGUGCGGGAAGAAGGCCUUCGGGUUGUAAACCGCUUUUGUCAGGGAAGAAAUCCUUUGGGUUAAUACCUCGGAGGGAUGACGGUACCUGAAGAAUAAGCACCGGCUAACUACGUGCCAGCAGCCGCGGUAAUACGUAGGGUGCGAGCGUUAAUCGGAAUUACUGGGCGUAAAGCGUGCGCAGGCGGUUUUGUAAGAUCGAUGUGAAAUCCCCGGGCUCAACCUGGGAACUGCAUUGGUUACUGUGAGGCUGGAGUGCGGCAGAGGGAGAUGGAAUUCCGCGUGUAGCAGUGAAAUGCGUAGAUAUGCGGAGGAACACCGAUGGCGAAGGCAAUCCCCUGGGCCUGCACUGACGCUCAUGCACGAAAGCGUGGGGAGCAAACAGGAUUAGAAACCCGAGUAGUCC